CUGGCGGCGUGCCUAAUACAUGCAAGUCGAACGGUCUUUCUAUGGAAGCUUGCUUCCACUGAGAAGAUAGUGGCGAACGGGUGAGUAACACGUGGGUAACCUGCCCAUAAGAGGGGGGAUAACAUCCGGAAACGGGUGCUAAUACCGCAUAGUUUUCUUGAUCGCAUGAUCGGGAAAGGAAAGACGGCCUUUGUGCUGUCGCUUAUGGAUGGACCCGCGGCGUAUUAGUUAGUUGGUGAGGUAACGGCUCACCAAGACGAUGAUACGUAGCCGACCUGAGAGGGUGAUCGGCCACAUUGGGACUGAGACACGGCCCAAACUCCUACGGGAGGCAGCAGUAGGGAAUCUUCCGCAAUGGACGAAAGUCUGACGGAGCAACGCCGCGUGAGUGAAGAAAAGGUUUUCGGAUCGUAAAACUCUGUUGUCAGAGAAGAACAAGUUGGAGAGUAACUGCUCCAGCCUUGACGGUAUCUGACCAGAAAGCCACGGCUAACUACGUGCCAGCAGCCGC
This 511-nucleotide ribosomal RNA is filed under the name uncultured bacterium. RNAcentral describes it as "bacterial SSU rRNA". It matches the Rfam family "Bacterial small subunit ribosomal RNA", at positions 36 to 518 of the family's 1533-position model. The record is from RNAcentral.